Molecule: non-coding RNA, 752 nt
Organism: Lactuca sativa (garden lettuce)
Lineage: Eukaryota; Viridiplantae; Streptophyta; Magnoliopsida; Asterales; Asteraceae
Source: RefSeq, a predicted model, not a curated record
AUCUUGAUGUUGAUUUUGGGUUUUUGUCGAACACAAUUAUGAUAUGUGUUCUUUAUGUCAACUGACAUUCACUCAAUACCUCAAGAACAUUUAACACCAUCUUGCAAGUACCAUUUUUUUAUCGUAUCAACAGAUGAAGAUACAAAAAAGGGAAUAAAAAAGGAGUCGUUUGCAUCAGAUUAUGAACAACUUCAUAAGUCUUGAAGCGCUUCAACCCAUUGGAGACAGGUCGUCAAUAUGUAAAAGUUGAGAGAAGAAGUGUGAGAAAAACAUUUGAAGCUCUGGAGCAUUUGAGGUUAUUAGAAGCAAGAAUCGCACAUGAUGAGAGUCGAAGUAUGUGUAAAAUGGAUAUGAAAGUGGAUGUUGCUCAAAAAUGGAUGUUAGAAAAUCAAUUCCAUAUCCUUUACUUGCAUUAACCAAUACAUUUGCUUUCCAAGAUCGAAUAUAGUUAAGUCGGAUGCAUAUGUUGUCAAAAAGGAUCUCAGGUUUGCCUUAUUUAUUUAUUUUUAUUUUCCUUAUAGGUAAAUUGACAUUUGCGUUAUUAAAAUGAUGUAUGUGUGAAGUAAAUAUGAACAAAGAGCGUUUCUUUUUUGCAGCCAUCUAAGGUUUGGUAAAUGACCCUUUUACACUUCUUUUUUAGGGCGUUUUAUUUUCAUUUUUUUGUAAAAUCUUUUAACUUUUACAUUAUAGGAGUAUUGAUUAUGGACUGUACAUCUAUACGAAUUAUUCUAACUUCUUGAUAGCUCAAUAUG